ACUCUGAGCCAAAGUGGUGGUCCCCUCUGUUGGCCUUGCCUCUCAGUGCAAUAAACUUUGCUGUGAUUGUCACUGGUGCCAUAGCAUUGUUUCAGGAGUCAUGUGGAUGCAACAAGUCAGCCUCCUGCUUUGCAAUUCUCCCCUCACCGCACCUUCAGAUCCUGUCUCUCUACAGCUGGCGCCAGAACAGGGACCUGAAGGUGGACGUUUGCCACACUGCUGAAGAAGUGCCACAGGAACUGAAGGGAACUUUGGAGCCGGGAAGCUCAGCCUUCGGGAUUUCUGCAGGUCUGUGCCAGAGACGAGGAGCCUGUCAACGUAUCGACUGAUAAUUCAGGUUAUGCAAUGCCCUCCUACAGUCCACCGAAUACAAACAGAAAGGGGGAGAUGCUGGAGAACAACAGGCCGGAGGCACCUUAAGAAUGUCCUGAAGGAAAGGGACAGAACAGCAAGAAACUGAAAGCAGUUUCGUUCCCAGGACAAAAGUCCCCUGGGAAUGCUCCUUCUUUCCAGAAGGACAUCAUCCGGGCGCCACCCUGGGGAUAAGAAUGUUUUGUCUGGUGCCAGAUGUACUCAUGACCCAGUAUGGAAAACACUGCAGGUACAUGACCUGUCAAGAUGCCAAAUACUAUGUUGUAUGUGCUUGCUGGUGUCAACAAUUUGCAAAAAUCAAAGAGGCUUGAGCCAGCGGACUGAGGCUUUGGCUCCUGGAGAGUCUUAGUUCCCUGCUUUGCAAUCCUCUCAUCACCACACCUCUAGGACCUGUCUCUCUACAUAUUCCACACUCUCAUUUUCUUUGUGUUUAUUUAUUACCAAUAUAUGUGUGUGACAUUUC
This is a long non-coding RNA of Puma concolor (puma), 835 nucleotides long. RefSeq lists it as uncharacterized. The record is from RefSeq and is a predicted model, not a curated record. NCBI's taxonomy places the organism in Eukaryota, Metazoa, Chordata, Mammalia, Carnivora, Felidae.